CUAAUGGUAUUUUGUUCUUGCUCUGUCUUCUCAUCUCUUUCCAGUCUGCUAGUGCUCUGAGCAGAGUGUGUGUGGUCUCUCUGCAGCCAUCCAGAAGGAGAGAAUUAGUGGUCUUCUUCAUGACAUGAUUAAAGAAAAAGCAGGCAUGUAAAAUAAAUACAAAUUUACUGGGUUAUGAACAUUGUCAUUGGGAAUUGAAACAAAAUUCAAAUUUUAAAUUAGUAUUUAAAAAUCUACCCCUCCAUAGAUGAAAAAAAACCAACAGAAAAUUAACGAGAUAUUCUGUAGAGGGUCAGAUCUGUUUCGCAUCAGUUUCUCAGGGCUCUCUGGAGAAGAAAAGUCCCCGGAGGUGAGGGGAAUCUUAGCCGCCAAAACAAGUCUGUGGCAGGGCCUGGAGGUAUCUGUGAGUCUCACAAGAUAGUGCUGGCUGGGAAUAGAGUAUUUCCAAGUAAGCAGUGCUUUAUUGUGUGCCAUGCUGCAAAUACUUUUGCUGUUCUGAUCUUACCAAACUGUAAACUAUUCUCUUUUCUGCUCCUGGGGGAUCUCGCAAAGGAGAAUUAUAAACAAACAAACUAAACCCUUCUCUUUGUUCCUGUGUCCUCUGAUUCUUCAGUGAAGUUCUCCUUUGAAGAAGAGGCCUGAACUGCACCUGAAUGGGUGGAAUUAGUCUAAACUAGUGAGAAUGGCCCUAUUUCUAUUUAGAAAAAAAAAAAAUAAGGUCAGUCAAAAGUACUUUCAUUUAAAAAAACAAACCCCACAUUUAUGCAACAACAAAAUC
This is a long non-coding RNA of Neopsephotus bourkii (Bourke's parrot), 778 nucleotides long. RefSeq lists it as uncharacterized. The record is from RefSeq and is a predicted model, not a curated record. Lineage: Eukaryota; Metazoa; Chordata; Aves; Psittaciformes; Psittacidae. The transcript has 3 exons.